This is a long non-coding RNA of Erpetoichthys calabaricus (reedfish), 789 nucleotides long. RefSeq lists it as uncharacterized. The record is from RefSeq and is a predicted model, not a curated record. The transcript has 3 exons. Lineage: Eukaryota; Metazoa; Chordata; Cladistia; Polypteriformes; Polypteridae.
AUUUAGGCUGAAUGUUGGGAGACGUGCUGACUUUAAUUUUAAUUUGCUUGCUAUUAGCACCCGGAGAAGAGUAACAUCUCUACAGGAUCCCCAUGUCACACACAUGAUGUUGGAGAGCAUCUAGAGAAGAUUUCUUCCCUUCGUGCUGGGGUAUAGCAUGACCACAUUUAUGGUUGUCUUCUACUCUAUACAUGGCUGAAGAGAAUACUUGGUACUGAAUUUCCUCGCUUGGCUAUUUUUUCAUCUCGCAGUCCAGUGGUAGCACUUCACUCUAGAUGUUCAUUUGUCCUAUAAGGAUGUGCCCAGUCUAUGGUGUUUCUGUAUUUCAUAACUAUCUGCCCCAACACACUCCAGGGAUUGUAAGGUUUUAGCCACUGACUGUCCUGAGUGCCCUGUUACAGACUUCGACUAGUAGGUAAAAUACAGCAAGCAUGAAAACAUUUGCUGGCAACCUCUGAAAAGACUUCAUUGAGCUUUGUGGCUGCUACUCCCUGGGGCUGUUCCUGAAGCUCCAUCCAUGGACUCAUUCAGCUCACUUUUAAAGACUCACCUCUGCUGUCUUGUGUGUUGGUCUACUUGACUAUAACUGUAUGCCUGUAUAAAGUGUAUUUAUCUAUUUCUAUUCCAACUCUGCUAAUCCUGAUUUUGCCAUACUCGCCCUCAGGAUGUUCAUCUGUUAUUCUUUACUUAUGAACACUUCACUCUUUCAAUGUAACGAUUUUGAAAUUUUUCGUAUUUACUGUUCAUUUUGAAAUGUGUAAUUUCUUACUGAGUAAAUGAUACACUCUA